RNAcentral lists this ribosomal RNA (401 nucleotides) under uncultured bacterium. RNAcentral describes it as "bacterial SSU rRNA". It matches the Rfam family "Bacterial small subunit ribosomal RNA", at positions 30 to 418 of the family's 1533-position model. The record is from RNAcentral.
AGUGAACGCUGGCGGCAGGCCUAACACAUGCAAGUCGAGCGGCAGCGCGUCCGACCACCCUCGGGUGGUCGGAUGGCGGCGAGCGGCGGACGGGUGAGGAAUGCAUCGGAAUCUGCCUCGUUGUGGGGGAUAACGUAGGGAAACUUACGCUAAUACCGCAUACGACCUACGGGUGAAAGUGGGGGACCUUCGGGCCUCACGCGAUGAGAUGAGCCGAUGCCGGAUUAGCUAGUUGGCGGGGUAAAGGCCCACCAAGGCGACGAUCCGUAGCUGGUCUGAGAGGAUGAUCAGCCACACUGGAACUGAGACACGGUCCAGACUCCUACGGGAGGCAGCAGUGGGGAAUAUUGGACAAUGGGGCAACCCUGAUCCAGCCAUGCCGCGUGUGUGAAGAAGGCCUU